RNAcentral lists this ribosomal RNA (1457 nucleotides) under Lactiplantibacillus plantarum. RNAcentral's name for it is "bacterial SSU rRNA". It matches the Rfam family "Bacterial small subunit ribosomal RNA". The record is from RNAcentral. Lineage: Bacteria; Bacillati; Bacillota; Bacilli; Lactobacillales; Lactobacillaceae.
GCGUGCUAUACAUGCAAGUCGAACGAACUCUGGUAUUGAUUGGUGCUUGCAUCAUGAUUUACAUUUGAGUGAGUGGCGAACUGGUGAGUAACACGUGGGAAACCUGCCCAGAAGCGGGGGAUAACACCUGGAAACAGAUGCUAAUACCGCAUAACAACUUGGACCGCAUGGUCCGAGCUUGAAAGAUGGCUUCGGCUAUCACUUUUGGAUGGUCCCGCGGCGUAUUAGCUAGAUGGUGGGGUAACGGCUCACCAUGGCAAUGAUACGUAGCCGACCUGAGAGGGUAAUCGGCCACAUUGGGACUGAGACACGGCCCAAACUCCUACGGGAGGCAGCAGUAGGGAAUCUUCCACAAUGGACGAAAGUCUGAUGGAGCAACGCCGCGUGAGUGAAGAAGGGUUUCGGCUCGUAAAACUCUGUUGUUAAAGAAGAACAUAUCUGAGAGUAACUGUUCAGGUAUUGACGGUAUUUAACCAGAAAGCCACGGCUAACUACGUGCCAGCAGCCGCGGUAAUACGUAGGUGGCAAGCGUUGUCCGGAUUUAUUGGGCGUAAAGCGAGCGCAGGCGGUUUUUUAAGUCUGAUGUGAAAGCCUUCGGCUCAACCGAAGAAGUGCAUCGGAAACUGGGAAACUUGAGUGCAGAAGAGGACAGUGGAACUCCAUGUGUAGCGGUGAAAUGCGUAGAUAUAUGGAAGAACACCAGUGGCGAAGGCGGCUGUCUGGUCUGUAACUGACGCUGAGGCUCGAAAGUAUGGGUAGCAAACAGGAUUAGAUACCCUGGUAGUCCAUACCGUAAACGAUGAAUGCUAAGUGUUGGAGGGUUUCCGCCCUUCAGUGCUGCAGCUAACGCAUUAAGCAUUCCGCCUGGGGAGUACGGCCGCAAGGCUGAAACUCAAAGGAAUUGACGGGGGCCCGCACAAGCGGUGGAGCAUGUGGUUUAAUUCGAAGCUACGCGAAGAACCUUACCAGGUCUUGACAUACUAUGCAAAUCUAAGAGAUUAGACGUUCCCUUCGGGGACAUGGAUACAGGUGGUGCAUGGUUGUCGUCAGCUCGUGUCGUGAGAUGUUGGGUUAAGUCCCGCAACGAGCGCAACCCUUAUUAUCAGUUGCCAGCAUUAAGUUGGGCACUCUGGUGAGACUGCCGGUGACAAACCGGAGGAAGGUGGGGAUGACGUCAAAUCAUCAUGCCCCUUAUGACCUGGGCUACACACGUGCUACAAUGGAUGGUACAACGAGUUGCGAACUCGCGAGAGUAAGCUAAUCUCUUAAAGCCAUUCUCAGUUCGGAUUGUAGGCUGCAACUCGCCUACAUGAAGUCGGAAUCGCUAGUAAUCGCGGAUCAGCAUGCCGCGGUGAAUACGUUCCCGGGCCUUGUACACACCGCCCGUCACACCAUGAGAGUUUGUAACACCCAAAGUCGGUGGGGUAACCUUUUAGGAACCAGCCCGCCUAAGGUGG